This 82-nucleotide transfer RNA is filed under the name bacterium. Its description in RNAcentral is "tRNA-Leu". It matches the Rfam family "tRNA". Rfam says of the family: Transfer RNA (tRNA) molecules are approximately 80 nucleotides in length. The record is from RNAcentral.
GUCGGAGUGGUGGAAUUGGUAGACACGCACGAUUCAGGUUCGUGUGGUUAACGCCUUGUGGGUUCGAGUCCCAUCUUCGACA